This is a long non-coding RNA of Diospyros lotus (date-plum), 831 nucleotides long. RefSeq lists it as uncharacterized. Lineage: Eukaryota; Viridiplantae; Streptophyta; Magnoliopsida; Ericales; Ebenaceae. The record is from RefSeq and is a predicted model, not a curated record. The transcript is spliced from 3 exons.
UCAUUUUUCUCUCUAUCUACUCUCUGUUUCACUCUGUUCUCCUCUCUAUUUUCUCCCUAAUUUCUCUCUAUUCUCUGUUUCCAUCUGUUCUUCUCUCUGUUUUCUCUCCAAAACUUAUCAUUUCUCUCUCUUUCUUUCUUUUUUCAUGAGUAUCAACUAGAAAUCCUAAAUUCGAAACCUAAGGUCCUAACAUGUUCCCCCACUCCUUCUCUCCCACUUUAUUGGGUUCUAAUUGCCUCUGGGCUCUGGCUGUGAUGCCCUUCUGUUUCAAUUUUAAAAUUUUAACUGUAGCACUCUUCCUCCCCCAUUAUAAGGGCCAAAUGACUGAUAAUUUAGAAUUCAUUCACCAAUCUCGCGGGACAGAACAUAGGCUCAAUACGUUGAUAUUGUUGUUGUUAUUAUUCAUCCUCCCCCAUUGGAAUUCUCCGCCGACUUAACUAUAUCUGGAGUUGUACAUGGCUCCCUCCCAAGCUCCAGAUUACUUGGCCACAUUUGCCAAGAACUUACCUUAAUCUCUACUUUGGGGGUGGUUGGAUUGCAGUUGGGACUUUUCCACCAGUUUUGUUGGCCUGUGUGGAGGAUGGAAUUGGUACAACAGUCGUAUUAGACUGCCCAACAAGAGGUCGAGGUUCCUAUCAGCUUUGCUCCAUAGGUUUGAGGUUUCUGCCAUUCCUUAGCAUCCUCGGAUCAUAUCAAGCAAGGCAAAGCUUUGUUUUUGAACACAUGGUUGAUUGAGUUUUUGUUGUCCAAUCGCAAAGGGCAACAAAACAAGAUGCCCAGUCAGUGCUCCAAUGUCCACGUGGACAAUUGCCAAUGGUGGACAAAUGCCAA